CUUCCGGCGUACGUGGUCGCGCGGGAGUAGGCAGCGACGUUCGCCGCCGAAAUUCGAUGUAACGCCGCGAGUGCCGGAAUACAAACGGGGAGCCGUGAUUCGGAAUCUUGCUCUUGUCGGCUUCGUUGGCUAAGGAAUCUAAUUCAUGUUUAACGUUGGCAACGUUGUCAGAAUCAUUUCAUUUUUAUGUUCAUCAAAUGGCUGUGUUCAACAGGAAAAGCAACUUUGCAACCAUUGUAAGAUUCUUCAAUUUGAUUAGUUUGUACAUUUUGACCCGUGAGGACCUAAGAGCAGAAAUCAGUGAUAUCCAAGAUUUUUACAAUUGCAAAGCUGCUUUCUCUGCUGAAUACAGCCAUUGUUGAACAAGAGUAAACGAUGAUUGCGAGCAUUGUUGCGAAUGUUACGUGGAACGCAAGAAUUAUAUGAGCUGCGCCGUGUCGCAAGGUCACUCUAUAUACAGAGAACAACGUUUAUCCAGAGGAUAUCCAUACGCUGCCCCAAUGCAUAAGUUAUAUAGUCAACGUGCAAUUAUCUGAAAAAUUGUAAGAUGCCGCUUUGCGAUACUCGCUAUCUACUACUGCGAAUACGUGCCACGUGUGUACGUUGCGUAUAUCAAGUUGUAAUAGAGACGAGUAGGUUUACUAUCGCUGCUGUUGCCGGUAGGCGCCGAGUUACUUGACUCCCUAUCCUAUUUAGGACUGGACAGGAAAGGGACGAGCUGAUGAGCAUUUGCCCGCUGAUCUCGCUCCCGUCUAAAUGGUACACACAGAUUACGUUGACGACAUCUAUUUUCUGGAGGACGAGCAAAACGAACGAGUUUGUCAUGACGGAGAGAAAGAGAGAGGAGGAUUUGGAUCAUAGUUUGUGGACAUAUUGUGUAUGUAUGUAUAUGUGUAUGCGUAUGUGGGUGUAAUGGGUGUGCGUGUGGUCGAUACCACGGCUGGUUGUGCGAGUCGUCUGGUCAGCUGGCGCCAGGACCCUGACAGCUUCCU
Pogonomyrmex barbatus (red harvester ant) is the source of this 992-nucleotide long non-coding RNA. RefSeq lists it as uncharacterized. The record is from RefSeq and is a predicted model, not a curated record. Lineage: Eukaryota; Metazoa; Arthropoda; Insecta; Hymenoptera; Formicidae.